Molecule: long non-coding RNA, 233 nt
Filed under: Volvox carteri
Lineage: Eukaryota; Viridiplantae; Chlorophyta; Chlorophyceae; Chlamydomonadales; Volvocaceae
Description: long non-coding RNA (VCAR_LNC000720)
Source: RNAcentral
AUCCAGUCCAGACACCGGCAUGCGCCUUCACAACCCAUCCGGUGACUCCGGUGGGGAAGCCCCCCCGCGGGUCGACUCCGGGGUGCCGGCACACGUCCACCUCGCUUCGAGCCGCGUGGGGAAUAUCACCGAGGGGUAGCUUAACGGCAGCGUAAUGAGCAACCAAAUCUUUGUAAGCCCUGGAGGCCCUCGCAGGGGCAAACACACCCGUACCGGGCAGGAAGGCAGGGAAG